UGAGGAACAUGACCUUCGGCGGGGGAUAGCCGGCCCAACGGCCGGGUAAUACCGCGUACGACCACAUGGGGACAUCCCUGAGUGGUGAAAGCAGCAAUGCGCCGAUGGAGUGCCUCGCGGCCUAUCAGCUAGUUGGUGAGGUAACGGCUCACCAAGGCGACGACGGGUAGCUGGUCUGAGAGGAUGGCCAGCCACAGUUGGGACUGAGACACGGCCCAGACCUCGUACGGGGAGG
RNAcentral lists this ribosomal RNA (235 nucleotides) under uncultured bacterium. RNAcentral describes it as "partial 16S ribosomal RNA". It matches the Rfam family "Bacterial small subunit ribosomal RNA", at positions 118 to 347 of the family's 1533-position model. The record is from RNAcentral.